AGGUGAUGAUAGAACCUAUAAGGAAACUGUCUAUGCCUUUGCCUUCACUGCUGAAUGUCAGCUCCAGACAACUUACUUCUCAGUCAGUGGGUCUCCAUCCCUAUCUGUGGUCUUCUGGACAUCCUUGCAGGAGAUGACAUCUUGGGAACUCUUGGGAGUGAAUGACACCAAUAAAUCCCUGACACGGGACUCUUCAAAGAGCUCACCUGCCUGUUGUCCGAGGGCCACUCUCUGCAGGUGAUGGCCACAAGGUGAGGCAGAUUGGUGACGGGAGCCAUUACUUCUACCAGCACCUUCCCCCAAACAACGAUCUGUCUUGCUUCUGCAUGGAGACUGCUGUGUUUCCUGGCUUGCGGCGGACGCCUCCUGCAGAUAAGAAAUGCUUAACUGAGAAAUGCUCAUGUUGGCAUACCAUCGAUGAGACUUUAAUUUGGGCGUGGUGACUGUUUCCCCAGGAGCCUAAGUAGAGGAAAUAUUAUUGCACAAGCAACUCAAAAUGAUGGAAUUUCUCAGUGCUCCCAUAAAUACAAAUUUAUACUUUUCAUUUGCCAGGUGGUAAAUUUAAAAGCUAGGAUAUAUUAAAAAGAAACUCGACAUGACUUUUUUUCAAAAAUUCAAAGCACACCUAAAUAUACAAUAUAUAAAUUAACUGCCCUCCCUUCUCCCAAUUCGAUCCCCCAGGGUUUUUCUUUGUUAAGGGAGUUGUGUGCAUUUCUUAAGUAGGUGAUGCACGUGCACACACACACACACACACACACACACACACACUAUUUUGGGGGGUUCUGCAAGUGGGGCCAUAUUGUACACAUUCUUCUACAAAUUACCUUUCACCUAACAGCUUUUCAUGCCCUAUUUUCCAUUUCAAUAACACAUCUUUGUCAUUUAUUGAAUGACUGCAGGACUGUUUUGUAUAUUGAAUAUAAUUAAAUGGUUUAAGCUUUUCUCACUCGUAGAUAUUUAUGUUAGCACCAAAUUUCUGUGCAGUGAACCUCCCUACAUAUCAAUAAUUUUGCAUUUGCGCAUUAUAUCAUAAUAAAUUACCUAGCAGUUGAAAUACUGGGAUUAAGAAUAUACACAUUUCAAAUUUUCAAAAUGAUUUCAAGAUUUCCUUAAAAAUGUGGUAACAACUUUAUCCUCAAAUGGCAACAAAUGAGAUUGCCAGCUUUCUGACAACCUCACAGAUAAUGGAUUUUAUAAAUAUUUAAAAUCUUUGCCAAUGUGAUAGCCCAAACUAUUGUCUUAAAUUGUAUUUCUUUUGUUUUUGAGUUUGAUCAUUUUUUCAUGUUUAUUAGCCAUCUGUAUUUUUUAAUUUCCUCUUUAUGUCUAAUUUGGGGGCUGGGGGAGGUUUUAGUCUCUUCCUCAUUUGGAAGAGCCUAUUUAUUACUGGGAAAAUUAGCUUUGGAUUGUCAAGCAUUACGGAUAUUUUUCACACACUUUUAAACUUCAUUUUUGUUAUAAGAAUGUGUAUGAUUGUUCUAUGUCCAAGUAUAACCAUGUUUGCUUCUAUGGCUUCUGAGUUUCAUGUCAUUUUGGAAAGAUUUAUACUGAAUCCAUAAAACCCUUCACCUAUGUUAACUUCUACUUAUUUUGUGUUUUUUUUUUAAUUCAAAUUCUUAAAUCAUGAGAAAUUUUUUUGAUUUUGGAAUCUUGAAGUUGCCAGGUUAUUUGCCAUUACUUGCGAUUUGAUACCAGUAAUUGCCCAUUUAUCUGUAAAGCCAUCUUGCCCUCUGCUGUAUCUCAUCUGUGACUGGCCCCAUUUUUCUGUGGAUUUGUGUGUGUCUCUUUUUCUGCCUCUUGUCUCAUGUGUUUUCUCGUUGGAAGAAAUUACAGUUUAGACUGCAAUUUCAUCAACUCUAAUAAAUUAAUUUCUGGGAGAACUGGUUUUUAAUAAUAUGUCUUCCUUCCCAAGGACAAGGUAUGUCUUUCUUUAUAUUCAAUAAUUUUAAUGAUGGUUAAUAUUUUUACUUUGUGAUGUGAGUGUUUUCUUUCAGUUUAUUUUCUUACUUGAUAUUUUCCUGUAUCUGAAAGUUUCGGGGUUUUUUUAGGGGGAAUGGUAAGUGGUCACCUUACUGUUUCCUGUGACUUUUCAGAGUUUAUCACAAUACAUACUAAGCCUUUUGCUAAUACGGUUCGUUUUGAUUGUCCACUUUCAAAUGACCUGGAUUGUAGUUAUAUUGAUUACGGACUGAUACUUAAACAAUUGUGGAAAUAUUACCCACCCUGGAUUUAAUGAGGUUUUCAUGGAAUGCUGCGUGGGUUUGGCCAGCACCUUGUUGCCGGUCUGUUAUCCAGAAAGACUCCCAGAAAGAGCUGUGAUUAAGCAACGUAGAGAGUGUGAGAGCUACUGCCGUAGGGGAAACACCACCGUGACGGGUUUCAGGGGGUUGCAAAAGCAGGAAGCUGUGGCUUUGGGGUUUGGACUGGCGUGACUUUAGGCAGGCUUUCCAAAGCAGGGAACUGGUUAGGAAGGGACA
Molecule: long non-coding RNA, 2474 nt
Organism: Rhinolophus ferrumequinum (greater horseshoe bat)
Lineage: Eukaryota; Metazoa; Chordata; Mammalia; Chiroptera; Rhinolophidae
Exons: 3
Source: RefSeq, a predicted model, not a curated record